UACGAGGGGGCGAGCGUUGUUCGGAAUUAUUGGGCGUAAAAGGGUGCGCAGGCGGUUUGGUAAGUCUUGUGUGAAAUCUACAGGCUCAACUUGUAGUCUGCACGAGAAACUGCCGGGCUUGAGUAUGGGAGAGGUGAGUGGAAUUCCUGGUGUAGCGGUGAAAUGCGUAGAUAUCAGGAGGAACACCUGUGGCGAAAGCGGCUCACUGGACCAUAACUGACGCUGAUGCACGAAAGCUAGGGGAGCAAACAGG
RNAcentral lists this ribosomal RNA (253 nucleotides) under uncultured bacterium. Its description in RNAcentral is "partial 16S ribosomal RNA". It matches the Rfam family "Bacterial small subunit ribosomal RNA", at positions 524 to 776 of the family's 1533-position model. The record is from RNAcentral.